Non-coding RNA from Triticum aestivum (bread wheat), 135 nucleotides. The record is from Rfam. Lineage: Eukaryota; Viridiplantae; Streptophyta; Magnoliopsida; Poales; Poaceae.
CAGGUACUCCCUCCGUCCGAAAAUACUUGUCAUCAAAAUGGAUAAAAAGAGAUGUAUCUCGAACUGAAAUACGUCUAGAUACAUCCCUUUUUAUCCAUUUUGAUGACAAGUAUUUCCGGACGGAGGGAGUACCAA